Molecule: unclassified non-coding RNA, 649 nt
Filed under: Bombus terrestris (buff-tailed bumblebee)
Lineage: Eukaryota; Metazoa; Arthropoda; Insecta; Hymenoptera; Apidae
Description: misc RNA ENSBTSG00005028916.1
Source: RNAcentral
CUCUAUAUGUAUAUUACAUGUUCUCAAACAUCGAAAGAGAAAUAUAUGUUUAUGAUGAAUAUUUGUGAAUAGACUGUUCUUAAUUCAUCAUUUUUACAAAUAUUUACUGUAGAUUGUGAAUCAUUAUUUUGUAUUGACAUAAGAUUCUGAUCGAUUAAAUUCUCUCGCUGGUAAUCUGGACCAAUUAUCAUGUUUUGUAUGAAACCAGCAGAUAUUCGAAUAUGUGACGUGUUAUUGAAUAUUCCGUUAAUCUUCGGAAUACAUCAUUUAAAUAAAAUCAUUCCAUAUACAAUCAGCGCACAUAAAGUGUUCAAAUUUAAUUUUUCAAUUAUUUUAAUCCUUCAAUUAAUCUUUCAUCGACUCAUCACUUAAUAAUACCUUUCAUCGAGUCAUCUUCCAAUCUUCCCCUUUCAGUAGUAAUCAAGAACUUGCCACUUACCAUUGAAAAUCCCUUCUAUUAGCGAAAUCCGAUUACAUCGUGGAACACUGUGUAGCUGUUUACUAAUCAAUCGGCUUUACUAAGCGAUCAGCGCUUAAUUGCAUAAUUGAUCGAUCCUUUGACGAAGAUAAUCGAUCGACGAAGAAGCGAUACAAGGCUUAAACGGGCGAUCGUCGUUAAUACUAUUCGUAGAAUUAAAUUGCACAAAAG